UUGUACUUGGUUCGAAUUGUGAAC
This 24-nucleotide non-coding RNA is filed under the name Arabidopsis thaliana (thale cress). The record is from RNAcentral. Lineage: Eukaryota; Viridiplantae; Streptophyta; Magnoliopsida; Brassicales; Brassicaceae.